GCUCACACAUGCAAGUCGACUGGAAUUCACCUUCGGGUGAUAGUACGGUGGCGGACGGGUGAGUAACGCGUAAAGAACUUGCCCUUCAGACCGGGACAACUGUUGGAAACGACAGCUAAUACCGGAUAUUAUGGGAACCUCGCAUGGGGGACCUAUGAAAGCUAUAUGCGCUGGAGGAGAGCUUUGCGUGCCAUUAGGUAGUUGGUAGGGUAAUGGCCUACCAAGCCGACGAUGGCUAGCCGGCCUGAGAGGGUGAUCGGCCACAAGGGGACUGAGACACGGCCCUUACUCCUACGGGAGGCAGCAGUGGGGAAUAUUAGACAAUGGACCAAAAGUCUGAUCCAGCAAUUCUGUGUGCACGAUGAAGGUUUUCGGAUCGUAAAGUGCUUUCAGUAGGGAAGAAAAAAAUGACGGUACCUACAGAAGAAGCGACGGCUAAAUACGUGCCAGCAGCCGCGGUAAUACGUAUGUCGCAAGCGUUAUCCGGAAUUAUUGGGCGUAAAGCGCGUCUAGGCGGCCUUUUAAGUCUGAUGUGAAAAUGCGGGGCUCAACUCCGUAUUGCGUUGGAAACUGGAAGGCUAGAGUAUCAGAGAGGUGGGCGGAACUACAAGUGUAGAGGUGAAAUUCGUAGAUAUUUGUAGGAAUGCCGAUUGGGAAGCCAGCUCACUGGAUGAAUACUGACGCUGAAGCGCGAAAGCGUGGGGAGCAAACGGGAUUAGAUACCCCGGUAGUCCACGCCGUAAACGAUGAUCACUAAGUGUGGGGGGUCGAACCUCCGUGCUCAAGCUAACGCGAUAAGUGAUCCGCCUGGGGAGUACGCACGCAAGUGUGAAACUCAAAGGAAUUGACGGGGACCCGCACAAGCGGUGGAGCAUGUGGUUUAAUUCGACGCAACGCGAGGAACCUUACCAGCCCUUGACAUCCUCAGAACUUAGCAGAGAUGCUUUGGUGCCACUUCGUGGAACUGAGUGACAGGUGGUGCAUGGCUGUCGUCAGCUCGUGUCGUGAGAUGUUGGGUUAAGUCCCGCAACGAG
This 1034-nucleotide ribosomal RNA is filed under the name uncultured Fusobacteriota bacterium. RNAcentral describes it as "bacterial SSU rRNA". It matches the Rfam family "Bacterial small subunit ribosomal RNA", at positions 46 to 1096 of the family's 1533-position model. Lineage: Bacteria; Fusobacteriati; Fusobacteriota. The record is from RNAcentral.